GAGCAACACGCUUCAUAACAUAAACAUAUGAAGUCAAGCGAUGAAAUGGUGUUUUGAAUGGAUACCGCCACAACAAUCAACGUCCAAUAUUUGUUUAAUGUCAUUGAUCACAUUCUUACGGGUACAUGGUGGUGUAGGGAGGAUCAUAUUUCAUCCCUUGAGAAACGUCAACAUGGGUAGAACUGGCAUAGUGCUUCUUUUUUUCGUGCAGCAAAGGUGUACGUCCGGUGCUUAGUGGGGAGCUCUGGUUCCGGGUGUGACAAGCGACCGAGCAGGCUGACAACAGCAGUCGCUGAGGUACAGAGAGUUAACGGAAUAUCAGGAAAGACUUGCGAACUGACGGACUCCUGUCUGUGCCAGGCGAACUUCUAUCGUUCAGACAUAACCGAUCACUUGAAGCUUUGCUACGCGAGUGUUGUGCAGAACCAGUGUGCAAUAGAUGCCUCCAGCCCGGCCUGUGACGACACAACGACGAACACGGUGUUCCGGGUGUCAACGUCUGUGACCUGGGUGAACGCCUGCAAGAGCACAGGUUCAGCUCCAGUCCAGUCAAUGAUGACCGUCGCCAUAGUAACAACCCUGGCGGCACUACAGCGACAUCUAUAGAACAACACCGACUACCGACAAUCAAACGUCGGUCUCAGAUUAUGAGAGAAUGUCAGUUUAGAAAGUACUGUUUUCGCCAUGCGUUGAAAUGGCAACCAAUCCUUUGGCCGAGUUAUCUUGGCUUGUCUUAAGAAAUAUAUAUAUAUACAAUAUAACAUCAUAAAUUGUUUCCUGUUGACCACCACAGACAUGUUGACUAGAUUUGCAUAUUAUUAAUAACAUUUAUUGUAUACAUCUACUAACCAAGGUGUUUAGGUGGAAAUUCCCUCGGGUAUUUUAUAAUCAAAACCUAUUGCAUUAACAUUAUGUCAUGCAAGUUUUUAAACUCCUAAAAUAAGGUAUACAUGUUGCUGUUUCAAGGCAUACAGUGCCACAGUAUACUGGUUUGAUAAGAAAUGAUAUGUUUUUAAUCUUCUUUUUGGAAUUUGUGUACACAACAUAGAAUCUGUUAAUAAUUCUAUUUAGUAAUAUAGAGUUAUAUAUUUAUUUAUUUUAUUAGACACGCUCUUUUUCUUUUCAUGUUUAUUCAGUGUUUAGCAAACAUUUGAAUAUGUUUAAUUAAAGUGUUUUUUACCCAAAAUAUACUUUUUUUCAGCAACGAAUUAUUAAUUUUUUGUAUGCAUAAACAGGGCAUGCGUAAAUUGUAAAAUUGGUAAGUUGUGAAUAUAGAAAAUAAAUCAUCAAAAUAUAUGUGUCUUUACUGAAUGUCCAUACAAGUCAAGUAAGAUUUCCUUAGUUCAAUGGGGCGGUGGUUAAAGCGUUCGCUCGUCUCGCCGAAGACCCGGGUUCG
Molecule: unclassified non-coding RNA, 1396 nt
Filed under: Haliotis rubra (blacklip abalone)
Lineage: Eukaryota; Metazoa; Mollusca; Gastropoda; Lepetellida; Haliotidae
Description: uncharacterized LOC124259201, transcript variant X2
Source: RNAcentral